This 253-nucleotide ribosomal RNA is filed under the name uncultured bacterium. Its description in RNAcentral is "partial 16S ribosomal RNA". The stretch from base 27 to 253 matches the Rfam family "Bacterial small subunit ribosomal RNA", at positions 550 to 776 of the family's 1533-position model. The record is from RNAcentral.
UACCAGCACCCCGAGUGGUCGGGACGAUUAUUGGGCCUAAAGCAUCCGUAGCCGGUUUUACAAGUCCUCCGUUAAAUCCAACUGCUUAACAGAUGGGCCGCGGAGGAUACUAUAAGACUAGGAGGCAGGAGAGGCAAGCGGUACUCAGUGGGUAGGGGUAAAAUGCGUAGAUAUCGAGAGGAACACCUGCGGCGAAGGCGGGUUGCUGGGCUGACACUGACGCUGAGGCGCGAAAGCUAGGGGAGCGAACGGG